UUGCUAUCUGCGAUAUGGAAGAUUCGAACCUGCCGCAGGUUCGGGUCGAACGCAGUGAGACAACGGAGCCGUUUACGGCGACGGCCCGAAGGGCGAGGCGAUCUCAUGAGCUUCCGGUAGCGACGG
RNAcentral lists this small RNA (126 nucleotides) under Salmonella enterica subsp. enterica serovar Kentucky. Its description in RNAcentral is "RtT sRNA". It matches the Rfam family "RtT RNA". Rfam says of the family: This family represents a bacterial cis-regulatory element known as RtT RNA. The exact function of RtT is unknown although it is thought that it may be involved in changing the cellular response in relation to amino acid starvation. The record is from RNAcentral. Lineage: Bacteria; Pseudomonadati; Pseudomonadota; Gammaproteobacteria; Enterobacterales; Enterobacteriaceae.